AACGGACAGCAAGGGAAUUAUUAUUAUUUCCUUCUUGCUAAGCGGUGGCCGACUCCAAUUGAAUUAAGGAAGCCAAAUCAGGCUUGAGGAGUUUAAUCGAAGUCAAACUCUACUAAGCUGAAGCUAUGCGACGGGUUAGGCUAAGAUUAAGGGGAUAAGAUCAAGUUUUUUUGAAUUAUUGGAGGAUUUAUUUUUCCAUAAAAGGAGGAGAAGAAGCAGCAGACG
RNAcentral lists this long non-coding RNA (225 nucleotides) under Gossypium raimondii (Peruvian cotton). RNAcentral describes it as "long non-coding RNA (GRAI_LNC009461)". Lineage: Eukaryota; Viridiplantae; Streptophyta; Magnoliopsida; Malvales; Malvaceae. The record is from RNAcentral.